RNAcentral lists this ribosomal RNA (256 nucleotides) under Salmonella enterica subsp. enterica. Its description in RNAcentral is "partial 23S ribosomal RNA". It matches the Rfam family "Bacterial large subunit ribosomal RNA", at positions 557 to 816 of the family's 2925-position model. RNAcentral also lists the same sequence under 1 other name. Lineage: Bacteria; Pseudomonadati; Pseudomonadota; Gammaproteobacteria; Enterobacterales; Enterobacteriaceae. The record is from RNAcentral.
CGUGUACGUACAAGCAGUGGGAGCACCCUUUGGGUGUGACUGCGUACCUUUUGUAUAAUGGGUCAGCGACUUAUAUUCUGUAGCAAGGUUAACCGAAUAGGGGAGCCGGAGGGAAACCGAGUCUUAACCGGGCGUUAAGUUGCAGGGUAUAGACCCGAAACCCGGUGAUCUAGCCAUGGGCAGGUUGAAGGUUGGGUAACACUAACUGGAGGACCGAACCGACUAAUGUUGAAAAAUUAGCGGAUGACCUGUGGCU